CAGACCUCUAAUCGGAAAAGACUACCCGCUGAGUUUAAGCAUAUCACUAAGCGGAGGAGAAGAAACUAACCAGGAUUUCCCUAGUAACGCCGA
This 93-nucleotide ribosomal RNA is filed under the name Scorpidium cossonii. RNAcentral describes it as "partial 25S ribosomal RNA". It matches the Rfam family "Eukaryotic large subunit ribosomal RNA", at positions 1 to 92 of the family's 3401-position model. The record is from RNAcentral. Lineage: Eukaryota; Viridiplantae; Streptophyta; Bryopsida; Hypnales; Amblystegiaceae.